GGCCGCCUGGGGCCCCAGAGAGGGUAGGACAGCUCGGAGGCUGCAGCCCAGAGACUGGAGCACCGGGGGGCGGCCAGCCGUCCGGCGUGCCCACCCCCAGGGGUUCCUGGGACACGGGGCCCAGAGCACUAAGGCCAGCCAAGUCCCGGGGACACUGGGUGGCUGGUCACCUCCCGAGCGUCCAGGGCCGGGCAGUCUGUGGGAACGAGGGCCAGCCCGCAUCGCUGCCUACCUGGCGCUGACGUCUUUGGGCAGGACAAGGCUCGCGCAGCACCUGCCGAUGGCCCCGCGGCACGCUGCGUCCCGGCUCCACACCGAGGACUUGCUACAAGUGGCCCCAAGGAUUUAGUGCGGUCACGUGAAAGGGCGGUUCCUGCUCCGUGACCGGGGUUGUAAGAAAUGUCUCCACACGGCCCGCCAAUCGUCACAACCCUACGUGUGUUCCUUUCUCACUGACAACCCGUCUCUGGGGAGGGGGGUGUGGGGG
This 487-nucleotide long non-coding RNA is filed under the name Suricata suricatta (meerkat). RNAcentral's name for it is "lncRNA (ENSSSUG00005017375.1)". Lineage: Eukaryota; Metazoa; Chordata; Mammalia; Carnivora; Herpestidae. The record is from RNAcentral.